RNAcentral lists this ribosomal RNA (253 nucleotides) under uncultured bacterium. Its description in RNAcentral is "partial 16S ribosomal RNA". It matches the Rfam family "Bacterial small subunit ribosomal RNA", at positions 524 to 776 of the family's 1533-position model. The record is from RNAcentral.
UACGGAGGAUCCAAGCGUUAUCCGGAAUCAUUGGGUUUAAAGGGUCCGUAGGCGGUUUUGUAAGUCAGUGGUGAAAGCCCAUCGCUCAACGGUGGAACGGCCAUUGAUACUGCAAGACUUGAAUUAUUAGGAAGUAACUAGAAUAUGUAGUGUAGCGGUGAAAUGCUUAGAUAUCGUUUGGAACGCCAAAGGUGAAAACAGGUUGCUGGGGUUGUGCCGACGCUGAGACACGAAAGCCAGGGGAGCAAACGGG